GGGGCUGCGGGAGCUUUCUCGGCGGCAGGCAGGAGUUUCUGCGGAGCCUCCGGGAGUCCCCUAAGCAUCUGUUCCCGCUCCCCAGGGGCGGGGAGGUCACCUUCUUGGUUCCCCAUCCGCCUGCGACCGGUUCGGCGGUGAGUGAAAGUGCGAAAAGCCGGGGCCUACCCAAGCCGGGCCUGCUGCGGGGCUUUCUGAAAAGUCAGCACGGAGCCCACGGACCCGGCCCCGCGCAAAGGGCAGUGCUAGGCCUCGGAGAAAAGGAAAGCACCCUGUCCUCCGUGCUGGGGUGGAGCUGAGACGAGUUCUUCAUGGGUAGAGGCAGAGGGAUGUACGUGCAUUGCUGAAGCCUCGGAAAACUGGAGGAGCCUAUAGAAGAAAAUGAAAAUCGCCGGUAUUUCCACCAUUUAGAGUGAAAUGCACUGACCUGAAGUGUCUGAUGCAAUGGAUUUUGACAACUGUCUACACCCAUUUGUACACCCCUCCCAUCAAGAUCUAGAACAUUUCCGUUGCCCCAGAAAUUCCCCUCAGGUCCCUUCCAGUCAGCCCCAUCCUCCUGCUGUCUAUCACCAUAAAUUAGUUUUGCCUGUCAUACAGUUGGCAUCAUGUGGCAUGUGGGCGUCUGUGCCUGGCUCCCCUCACUCAGCGUGAAUAAUGUUUUUGGAGUCAGCCAUGUAGCAGUAGCUUGCUCCUUUCCCUUGCUGAGUAGUGUUCCAUCGUGUGGCUACACCACAAUGUGCUCAGCCAUUCUCCCUGCCAUCGUCUUUUAGGUAGUCUUCGCUCUGGGGCUAUUAUGAAUAAAGCCACUUAUAAACGUAAGUGGACAAGUCUGUGUGUAAGAUGGAGGUUUUCAUUUUUCUUAAACACUUAAGAGUGGGAUUGCUGGGUCAUAAGAUUACCUUCUAGGAGAAAUUGCCAACAGUUUUCUAAAGUGGUCGUACCAUUUUCUAUUUCCACCAGCACUGUAUGAGGGUUCCAGGUGUUUACUAUUAUUAUUUUUUAAUUACACAAAUUAUACAUGGGUAUAUUCUUCUGUAAGGUUUAUUAAGUACAUUCGGAUAGCCACCUAGCACCCACCACUCCCCCCAGAGUAACCACCAUCAGCAGUUUGGGGUGCUUCCUUA
Microcebus murinus (gray mouse lemur) is the source of this 1124-nucleotide non-coding RNA. NCBI's taxonomy places the organism in Eukaryota, Metazoa, Chordata, Mammalia, Primates, Cheirogaleidae. The record is from RefSeq and is a predicted model, not a curated record.